Molecule: ribosomal RNA, 497 nt
Filed under: uncultured bacterium
Lineage: Bacteria
Description: partial 16S ribosomal RNA
Rfam family: Bacterial small subunit ribosomal RNA
Source: RNAcentral
GAUGAACGCUGGCGGCGUGCCUAAUACAUGCAAGUCGAGCGAACGGACGAGAAGCUUGCUUCUCUGAUGUUAGCGGCGGACGGGUGAGUAACACGUGGAUAACCUACCUAUAAGACUGGGAUAACUUCGGGAAACCGUAGCUAAUACCGGAUAAUAUUUUGAACCGCAUGGUUCAAAAGUGAAAGACGGUCUUGCUGUCACUUAUAGAUGGAUCCGCGCUGCAUUAGCUAGUUGGUAAGGUAACGGCUUACCAAGGCAACGAUGCAUAGCCGACCUGUGAGGGUGAUCGGCAACACUGGAACUGAGACACGGUCCAGAAUCCUAAGGGAGGCAGCAGUAGGGAAUCUUCCGCAAUGGGCGAAAGCCUGACGGAGCAACGCCGCGUGAGUGAUGAAGGUCUUCGGAUCGUAAAACUCUGUUAUUAGGGAAGAACAUAUGUGUAAGUAACUGUGCACAUCUUGACGGUACCUAAUCAGAAAGCCACGGCUAACUACGUG